CCUACGGGAUGCAGCAGUGGGGAAUAUUGCACAAUGGGCGCAAGCCUGAUGCAGCCAUGCCGCGUGUAUGAAGAAGGUCUUCGGGUUGUAAAGUACUUUCAGCGGGGAGGAAGGCGGUGAGGUUAAUAACCUCACCGAUUGACGUUACCCGCAGAAGAAGCACCGGCUAACUCCGUGCCAGCAGCCGCGGUAAUACGGAGGGUGCAAGCGUUAAUCGGAAUUACUGGGCGUAAAGCGCACGCAGGCGGUCUGUCAAGUCGGAUGUGAAAUCCCCGGGCUCAACCUGGGAACUGCAUUCGAAACUGGCAGGCUAGAGUCUUGUAGAGGGGGGUAGAAUUCCAGGUGUAGCGGUGAAAUGCGUAGAGAUCUGAAGGAAUACCAGUGGCGAAGGCGGCCCCCUGGACAAAGACUGACGCUCAGAUGCGAAAGCGUGGGGAGCAAACAGGAUUAGAUACCCUUGUAGUC
Molecule: ribosomal RNA, 465 nt
Filed under: uncultured bacterium
Lineage: Bacteria
Description: bacterial SSU rRNA
Rfam family: Bacterial small subunit ribosomal RNA
Source: RNAcentral